Vicia faba (fava bean) is the source of this 358-nucleotide non-coding RNA. The record is from the annotation of a GenBank genome assembly. NCBI's taxonomy places the organism in Eukaryota, Viridiplantae, Streptophyta, Magnoliopsida, Fabales, Fabaceae.
UCAGAGCAAGCAUAACCAAAAUAUCGCGCAUGAAGAAUAAGAAAGAAUCAUCGGGGUAUACCUGCCAGAGACCGGUCCGGCGCGUCUUCGAUAGUGAGACAGAAAAUCAAUGAUCCAGAAAAUAUGAACAGGGAUAGAGACGAGAGAAGAUUGAAGAUGAAUAUUGUUGGAACAGUUGCAGAGAGAUGGAGAGGUGAUUAUGAAGACGUGAAGGAAAGUGCAGAUAAAAUUCAAAGAGAAUUUGAAGUUUUUUGGCACCGAUGUUUGGAGAAGUGAAUCAUUGAAGCCUCUAAAUUUCAGAGAGAACUCUGAAACUUCUCUGAGAAGUUCGUCUGCAGAAGUGAAGAUCGUCCUCCUC